RNAcentral lists this small RNA (332 nucleotides) under Histoplasma capsulatum var. duboisii H88. RNAcentral describes it as "Histoplasma capsulatum H88 hypothetical RNA". Lineage: Eukaryota; Fungi; Ascomycota; Eurotiomycetes; Onygenales; Ajellomycetaceae. The record is from RNAcentral.
UCCUGAGGUUGACAUUGGUGUAAAAUGCGUUGGGACGAGAGGCGCCCACUUUUCGAAAAUCUUGCUCUCACAUUAAUUGAUCAAAGCCUAGUUUCUGUCAAACCAUGUAUUAUUUUCUUUUCCAUGGAGCCUCCCCCUGAAGAACUGAAUCGGCAAAUGCGUUGAAGGAUCUAAGCCGUCCAAUUGUCCCAUCAACGCAAACUGAACCUCCCAAUCGCGCAACCUCCCCCCCUUUUUUUUCUCCCCUUUUGCUGCAUACCGAAAUGGCCGAGAUUGAGCGAAGGAAACUUGGAAAAAGGGGGAUGAUUGAUAGGUUUUUAUUAGAGCGGGCG